RNAcentral lists this small RNA (1607 nucleotides) under Pan troglodytes (chimpanzee). RNAcentral describes it as "processed transcript". Lineage: Eukaryota; Metazoa; Chordata; Mammalia; Primates; Hominidae. The record is from RNAcentral.
GGCGGGAGCCCGUCACAAAAGAGCCUGGGGAGAUGCAGGUGCUGAGCCUGGCUGCCCCCGCCCCAGUGUGGCCCCUGUGUCCCUGCAGCACGUGGCCGAGGAGCUCCAGCACCUGCUGCAGUGGCUGAUGGGUGCUCCCGCCGGGCUCAAGAUGAACCGUGCACUGGACCAGGUGCUGGGCCGCUUCUUCCUCUACCACAUCCACCUGUGGAUCAGUGAGUGCAGGGCAGGCGGGGGCCCCAGGGACCCCAGAGCUUGCUGAAGAGGGUAGGGACCCAGCCAGACCCCGCCCCCUGUGCCCCCAACUCUGCUCCCCAGCGUCCUGUGUGUGUGAGGCCUGCUGUGCUCAGCUGAGGGCUGGGGCCUGGGCACCUCCUGAGGGCUGACCCCACCCUGCCAGGCUACACGCACCUCAUGUCCUGUGUGUGUGAGGGUUGUGCUGGGCCGAGGGCUGGGGUCUGAGCGCCUCCUGAGGGCCUACCCCACCCUGCCAGGCUACAUCCACCUCAUGUCCCCCUUCGUGGAGCACAUCCUUUGGCACGUGGGCCUCUCGGCCUGCCUGGGCCUGACGGUGGCCCUGUCCCUCCUCUCGGACAUCAUCGCCCUCCUCACCUUCCACAUCUACUGCUUCUACGUCUAUGGAGCCAGGUGGGCGUGGGCUUCCCCCUCCCCACCGCCCCCUGGGAGGUGCAGAGGCUCCGGCUGGGCGUUCGAGUGGGGCGGGGCAGGGCGGGGCAAGCGAGUGGGGCGGGGGCGGGGCGGGGCGCGGCCUGACAGCACUGCGUCCUGUAGGCUGUACUGCCUGAAGAUCCAUGGCCUGUCCUCACUGUGGCGUCUGUUCCGGGGGAAGAAGUGGAACGUUCUGCGCCAGCGCGUGGACUCCUGUUCCUAUGACCUGGACCAGGUAUGGGGCAGGGUUCGUGGCUGGAGGGGCUGACUGCCCCCGGCCUGUGCCCGCUGGGCCAGCGCGGUGCUUGGGCACCACAAGGGGGCAGCCUGCUCCCGUCCUGCAGCUGAGGCCGCGCACAGGCCAUGGGAAUAGAUAAGUCUGCGGUGUGGGCUGCACGUGGGGCUCUGAAGUAGCGCAGAGCUUCCCUGGGCCACAGAGAAGAGACAGACACGCAGCCCCGAAGGUGGUGCAGGCACAGGCCCUAGAGGUGCCCCGGGCUCGGAGACUAGAGGUGCCCCGGCCCGUCUGCUGCUCACUCUUGCUGCAGCCGCUGGAUGCUGCCAUCCAGAGCAUGUUCUUGGUGACUGUGUGGCCACGCACCGUCUUGGGUGGUCUGGCCCCCACCUGUCUCCCUGCAAGUCCCCUAGUAUGUGGGGUGUGGGUGGACAGCCCUCCUGCUACUGGGACUGCUUCUGAGCAGGCCAUCCCGAGUUCCCUCAGGAAGCCGCAAGGUCCCGACUGCAGCUCCGGGAUGGGGGAGGGCACAGUGCUGGGCUGUCCCUGGGCGCGGGGUCCUGCUGAUGCCCGGUGUGCCGGCCCCUCCCUACAGCUGUUCAUCGGGACUCUGCUCUUCACCAUCCUGCUCUUCCUCCUGCCUACCACAGCCCUGUACUACCUGGUGUUCACCCUGGACCCUGCAGCCUCUGGGCCCCCUUCC